AGUUUGAUCAUGGCUCAGGAUGAACGCUAGCGGGAGGCUUAACACAUGCAAGUCGUGGGGCAGCAUUUGGUAGCAAUACUGAGAUGGCGACCGGCGCACGGGUGAGUAACGCGUAUGCAACCUACCCUGUACAGGGGGAUAGCCCGGAGAAAUUCGGAUUAAUACCCCAUAAAGAUAUUUGAAGGCAUCUUUAGAUAUUUAAAGUUUCGGCGGUACGGGAUGGGCAUGCGUAACAUUAGCUAGUUGGUAGGGUAACGGCCUACCAAGGCAACGAUGUUUAGGGGUCCUGAGAGGGUGAUCCCCCACACUGGUACUGAGACACGGGCCAGACCCCUACGGGAGGCAGCAGUGAGGAAUAUUGGGCAAUGGGCGCAAGCCUGACCCAGCCAUGCCGCGUGCAGGAUGACGGCGCUAUGCGUUGUAAACUGCUUUUGUUUAGGAAGAAACCCAUCUACGUGUAGGUGGUUGACGGUACUGAAUGAAUAAGCAUCGGCUAACUCCGUGCCAGCAGCCGCGGUAAUACGGAGGAUGCAAGCGUUAUCCGGAUUCAUUGGGUUUAAAGGGUGCGUAGGCGGAGUACUAAGUCAGCGAUGAAAUCCUGCAGCUUAACUGUAGAUCUGUCAU
Molecule: ribosomal RNA, 624 nt
Filed under: uncultured bacterium
Lineage: Bacteria
Description: bacterial SSU rRNA
Rfam family: Bacterial small subunit ribosomal RNA
Source: RNAcentral